This 496-nucleotide ribosomal RNA is filed under the name uncultured bacterium. Its description in RNAcentral is "partial 16S ribosomal RNA". It matches the Rfam family "Bacterial small subunit ribosomal RNA", at positions 29 to 507 of the family's 1533-position model. The record is from RNAcentral.
AUGAACGCUGGCGGCGUGCCUAAUCCCUGCAAGUCGCGCGAACAGACGAGGAGCUUGCUCCUCUGACGUUAGCGGCGGACGGGUGAGUAACACGUGGAUAACCUACCUAUAAGACUGGGAUAACUUCGGGAAACCGGAGCUAAUACCGGAUAAUAUAUUGAACCGCAUGGUUCAAUAGUGAAAGACGGUUUUGCUGUCACUUAUAGAUGGAUCCGCGCUGCAUUAGCUAGUUGGUAAGGUAACGGCUUACCAAGGCAACGAUGCGUAGCCGACCUGAGAGGGUGACCGGCCACACUGGAACUGAGACACGGUCCAGACUCCUACGGGAGGCAGCAGUAGGGAAUCUUCCGCAAUGGGCGAAAGCCUGACGGAGCAACGCCGCGUGAGUGAUGAAGGUCUUCGGAUCGUAAAACUCUGUUAUUAGGGAAGAACAAAUGUGUAAGUAACUAUGCACGUCUUGACGGUACCUAAUCAGAAAGCCACGGCUAACUACGUG